Molecule: long non-coding RNA, 975 nt
Filed under: Homo sapiens (human)
Lineage: Eukaryota; Metazoa; Chordata; Mammalia; Primates; Hominidae
Description: non-protein coding LINC00964:29
Source: RNAcentral
AGUUCAUCGCAACACUCAGCCUGUCAGUCAGGUUGUGGGAUCCCUCCUAUCCAGGAACUGUAUGCUGUUGUCCCGGUUCUGACACUUUCCCUCUGAGUCCUUGGACACCUUACCUAACCUCUUGGAAGCUCCUGUCUGUGAAGGGUGUGCACAGAGAGCUUCGGUAGCCUGCGAAGCAGCCAUUUUCACUUCCACGGAGCAGAUGCUGGCCUGGGUGCUGGAAUAUGGAAAUGAGGAAGAUCCUGCCUGAGGAUUUCAUGACAGGACAUGGUCCAAGCAGACCCUUUCCUGAGACUUUCUAAAUGGAGCUGUGUGAGAAGAGUUCCUUUCUGUUUUGCCUCUGGAGCUGAAGGUUGAGAACUCAGAGCUGCCCGUGUUCUACCCUGUGAAAAUAAAGGCAAUCAAUUCACAGAGACAAGCAGAAACAAGGCGUCCAGAGCAAGUCCUUCACAUCACCCUGGACACCCUGGCCCUGAUUUCCACUCCCUGCCAGGCUUGUUUGUCCAAUUCUUCUUUUUGUUCCAAGCACCAUCCCAGCAGGCUUAGUUACCUGUAAGCAUUUGGUUAAUCUCUCUUCUCAGCUAGACCGUAGGCUCCCCGAGUGCAGAAACUAUGUUUAUUUUGGUCUCUGCUGGAUCUCCAGCACCUAAAUAAAUGUUUAUGGUUGACUGCAAGGCAGAUCUGUGUGGGGAAUGAAGAAGAGUAUUAAGACCUCCCAGAUGGGCUGCUGGAGGCCUGUCCAAGGUGGAACUUUGCAUGGUGAGAAAUGCAAUUCAGUAGGAAAACAAAGAACUCCUUCAUCCUCCUCUAGAUUCUGCAGGCAAGUGAUCAGCUCAAGGUGAAGGAUCUAAAACCUGAAAAGAGGCCAAAUGAUUCCUCAAAACCACGCAAGUACGAAGUAGCAGAGCGGAUCUCAAAUCCAGGUGUGUCUGACUUCCAGCCUAAUGGCUUUUCUUAAAAACACCCCCAAACUCU